This is a small nuclear RNA of Protopterus annectens (West African lungfish), 130 nucleotides long. The record is from RefSeq and is a predicted model, not a curated record. Lineage: Eukaryota; Metazoa; Chordata; Ceratodontiformes; Protopteridae.
GUGUUGUAUGAAACGAGGGAAGGUUAUCUCCCCCCUUGAUAAGGAUGGAAGAGGUCCCUAUGGCCUUUACAACACACAUAUAUGGUUAAGGCAUUGCCAUUUACUUUGUGGCAUCUAAUCACCAUUUUUC